This 497-nucleotide ribosomal RNA is filed under the name uncultured bacterium. RNAcentral's name for it is "partial 16S ribosomal RNA". It matches the Rfam family "Bacterial small subunit ribosomal RNA", at positions 28 to 507 of the family's 1533-position model. The record is from RNAcentral.
GAUGAACGCUGGCGGCGUGCCUAAUACAUGCAAGUCGAGCGAACGGACGAGAAGCUUGCUUCUCUGAUGUUAGCGGCGGACGGGUGAGUAACACGUGGAUAACCUACCUAUAAGACUGGGAUAACUUCGGGAAACCGUAGCUAAUACCGGAUAAUAUUUUGAACCGCAUGGUUCAAAAGUGAAAGACGGUCUUGCUGUCACUUAUAGAUGGAUCCGCGCUGCAUUAGCUAGUUGGUAAGGUAACGGCUUACCAAGGCAACGAUGCAUAGCCGACCUGAGAGGGUGAUCGGCCACACUGGAACUGAGACACGGUCCAGACUCCUACGGGAGGCAGCAGUAGGGAAUCUUCCGCAGUAGGCGAAAGCCUGACGGAGCAACGCCGCGUGAGUGAUGAAGGUCUUCGGAUCGUAAAACUCUGUUAUUAGGGAAGAACAUAUGUGUAAGUAACUGUGCACAUCUUGACGGUACCUAAUCAGAAAGCCACGGCUAACUACGUG